UCAAUCGUAUCGUAGCCAUUGAAAGCAAAAGAAGCUCAGACACUGAAAAGCCAAAAGACCAACGUUUCCUCUACAGCUUAAAAAAUCGUUUUCAAUCCAAAACUUCUUAUUCAAUUCCAAAUCAUUUACCUCACUAUUUAUCAUCACUGUAAUUCCCACUCCGGUCGUUUCAUGUUUAUAUCAACUUCCUUUAUAAAUUUAGGGUUAGAAACUCGAACCACACCCCAUCAUAAAAAAACUGCACUCAUCAAAUACAGCCCUCUAUUAGUCACCGUUCCUGCUUCUGCGCCUUACGUCACUUUAGACAAUCUGCAUCUCAGACGGUCUUCCCAACAGAUUUUUAAGCCACGCAUUUGUUUCUGAUAUUCUCUGUUUUUGUUAUCUUUCUUCUCGUUUUGCAGCUGUAGAGUUAAUGAUCGCAAUCUGAGUUUAUGUUCUUUUAAUCUAAUUUUUUUGAUGUAUUAUGUCAAAUAUGUUUGUCUAGGUAAUGAAUUUAAAUUUAGUUUGAGCAAAAUCUUACUCAAUUCGAAAUGAGAAAGUCGUAGGAUUUUUCCACAUGUCAUGUGAUUCCCUUUGUAUAGGCCAUAGGGUAGUGGUGAUCUUUCAAUAGUGCAAGAAACUCUGCUGUAUAUGAAGAACUCAUGGAUGGAAAACUGAGGUAUGAAUGAUGGUUCUUUUUACUGACUUUUGGCAGGGGAAUUUUCGGAAUCUAAAGAUGGCGUGGUGAGUCUCGCGACUUUCCCUGAUAUCCACCCCGAUUCUAGAGAAGAGCUCUUUGGUCAACGUAUUCAUCCAAGCUGCAUGAGCCAACCACUAUCGGCAUAUCUUAGAAGAAGGUCUCAACUUCAACAUUGGAUCACAGAGUUUUCAAAGUCUUCCGAUGACAAAACUCUACAAAAUCAUCAACCACUCUUUCAUCAUCUGAUUCAUCCCUUCCAGAACAACCACCAGCUUGACUACCUUCAAGCACCGGAACACCUAAUCAGCGAUAAGGUGAGGUUGCAUAUAUGACAACUGACAAGGACAAUGUGGAGACUGACGAAAAAUAGUUCUUAAUGAAAAUAGACAGUAUAAUAAUAGUCAAAAGACUACCAAAAAAAUAAAUGAAAUCUAGGGAACACUGCCAUACCACUACGCGAAAGCCAUAGACCCUCACUCGAACCUUUAAAAUCGCAAUGGAAAAAAGAAGAUGGACAUACCAAGAUUUUCAAAUUAGAGAUGUCUAUGUGUUAUGACUUUCUCACAGGUUCUUUUACAACGGAGGCUGUGGUAGAGUCGAGAGACACAAGGGAUGGUGUUCAACAUGAGAAUGAAAUUACCUCUAACGUUCAGGACAUGUGAUAUGUUUUACCUAUCUAAUAGCCAUGGAAUAUAUAUGUACGAUCAACAUAAGAACACAUUACAUUUAUGAGGGGAAUCAACUGUGAAACUCAAAUACAUUGGAAAAUAUCACAAUGU
Molecule: long non-coding RNA, 1458 nt
Organism: Brassica oleracea var. oleracea
Lineage: Eukaryota; Viridiplantae; Streptophyta; Magnoliopsida; Brassicales; Brassicaceae
Exons: 3
Source: RefSeq, a predicted model, not a curated record